CCUACGGGAGGCAGCAGUGGGGAAUAUUGCACAAUGGGGGAAACCCUGAUGCAGCAACGCCGCGUGAGUGAGGAAGUAUUUCGGUAUGUAAAGCUCUAUCAGCAGGGAAUAGAAAAGAAGGUACCUGAAAAAGAAGCCCCGGCUAACUACGUGCCAGCAGCCGCGGUAAUACGUAGGGGGCAAGCGUUAUCCGGAUUUACUGGGUGUAAAGGGAGCGUAGACGGAAAGGCAAGUCAGAAGUGAAAGCCCGGGGCUCAACUCCGGGACUGCUUUUGAAACUGUAUGGCUAGAUUGCAGGAGAGGCAAGUGGAAUUCCUAGUGUAGCGGUGAAAUGCGUAGAUAUUAGGAGGAACACCAGUGGCGAAGGCGGCUUGCUGGACUGUAAAUGACGCUGAGGCUCGAAAGCGUGGGGAGCAAACAGGAUUAGAUACCCCGGUAGUC
This 441-nucleotide ribosomal RNA is filed under the name uncultured bacterium. RNAcentral's name for it is "partial 16S ribosomal RNA". It matches the Rfam family "Bacterial small subunit ribosomal RNA", at positions 338 to 795 of the family's 1533-position model. The record is from RNAcentral.